This is a long non-coding RNA of Erinaceus europaeus (western European hedgehog), 176 nucleotides long. RefSeq lists it as uncharacterized. Lineage: Eukaryota; Metazoa; Chordata; Mammalia; Eulipotyphla; Erinaceidae. The record is from RefSeq and is a predicted model, not a curated record. The transcript is spliced from 2 exons.
GCCCUGGCCACGCUCUCUUGGCGGCUAUCUUCGCUGUGAACCUGCACGCGUGCACAUCUCAGGAGCCUUGGGGCAAAGCUUGCAGUUAUUUAUAUGGAACUGAUGGACAGCCUGGAGAUCUGAGGAGGCAUAGGACAAGUGGUAUGAGACAUCAAGAGGAAAUGACGUGCAAAACA